AAAGCGUGCGCAGGCGGUUUUGUAAGUCUGAUGUGAAAUCCCCGGCCUCAACCUGGGAAUUGCAUUGGAGACUGCAAGGCUAGAAUCUGGCAGAGGGGGGUAGAAUUCCACGUGUAGCAGUGAAAUGCGUAGAUAUGUGGAGGAACACCGAUGGCGAAGGCAGCCCCCUGGGUCAAGAUUGACGCUCAUGCACGAAAGCGUGGGGAGCAAACAGGAUUAGAUACCCCUGU
RNAcentral lists this ribosomal RNA (230 nucleotides) under uncultured bacterium. RNAcentral's name for it is "partial 16S ribosomal RNA". It matches the Rfam family "Bacterial small subunit ribosomal RNA", at positions 562 to 791 of the family's 1533-position model. The record is from RNAcentral.